This is a long non-coding RNA of Phalaenopsis equestris, 271 nucleotides long. RefSeq lists it as uncharacterized. The record is from RefSeq and is a predicted model, not a curated record. The transcript has 3 exons. NCBI's taxonomy places the organism in Eukaryota, Viridiplantae, Streptophyta, Magnoliopsida, Asparagales, Orchidaceae.
UCAUUGGUCCUGCCACUGUUGGGGGAAUCCAAGCAGGAGCUUUUAAGAUAGGCGAUACAGCAGGAACAAUCGACAAUAUAAUUCAAUGCAAGCUCUAUAGACCUGGAUCUGUUGGUUUUGUCUCUAAAUCGGGUGGGAUGUCAAAUGAGCUUUACAAUACAAUUGCACGUGUAACUGAUGGAAUUUAUGAAGGCAUUGCAAUUGGCGGAGAUGUUUUUCCUGGUUCAACACUUUCUGAUCAUGUCAUUCGGUUUAAUAAUAUUCCUCAGGU